This 266-nucleotide ribosomal RNA is filed under the name uncultured Staphylococcus sp. RNAcentral describes it as "partial 16S ribosomal RNA". It matches the Rfam family "Bacterial small subunit ribosomal RNA", at positions 96 to 354 of the family's 1533-position model. Lineage: Bacteria; Bacillati; Bacillota; Bacilli; Caryophanales; Staphylococcaceae. The record is from RNAcentral.
CGGCGGACGGGUGAGUAACACGUGGAUAACCUACCUAUAAGACUGGGAUAACUUCGGGAAACCGGAGCUAAUACCGGAUAAUAUAUUGAACCGCAUGGUUCAAUGGUGAAAGACGGUUUUGCUGUCACUUAUAGAUGGAUCCGCGCCGCAUUAGCUAGUUGGUAAGGUAACGGCUUACCAAGGCAACGAUGCGUAGCCGACCUGAGAGGGUGAUCGGCCACACUGGAACUGAGACACGGUCCAGACUCCUACGGGAGGCAGCAGAA